CCUACGGGUGGCAGCAGUAGGGAAUCUUCCACAAUGGGGGAAACCCUGAUGCAGCGACGCCGCGUGAGUGAUGAAGUUUUUCGGAAUGUAAACUUCUAUCAGCAGGGAAGAAAAUGAGGGUACCUAACUAUGAAGCCCCUGCCAAUUACGUGCCAGAAGCCGCGGUCAAACGAAGGGGGCACGCGUUAUCCGGAUUUAAUGGGUGUAAAGGGAGCGUAGGCGGUUUAGCAAGUCAGAAGUGAAAGCCCGGGGCUCAACCCCGGGACGGCAUUUGAAACUGGUGAACUAGAGUGCAGGAGAGGAAAGUGGAAUUCCUAGUGUAGCGGUGAAAUGCGGAGAGAUUAGGAGGAACACCAGUGGCGAAGGCGACUUUCUGGACUGUAAAUGACGCUGAGGUGCGAAAGCGUGGGGAGCAAACAGGAUUAGAUACCCCAGUAGUC
Molecule: ribosomal RNA, 440 nt
Filed under: uncultured bacterium
Lineage: Bacteria
Description: partial 16S ribosomal RNA
Rfam family: Bacterial small subunit ribosomal RNA
Source: RNAcentral